UUAAAAAGCUCGUAGUUGAACCUUGGGCCUGGCUGGCCGGCCCGCCUCACCGCGAGUACUGGUCCGGCUGGGCCUUUCCUUCUGGGGAACCUCAUGGCCUUCACUGGCUGUGGGGGGAACCAGGACUUUUACUGUGAAAAAAUUAGAGUGUUCAAAGCAGGCCUUUGCUCGAAUACAUUAGCAUGGAAAAAUAGAAUAGGACGUGCGGAUCUAUUUUGUUGGUUUAUAGGACCGCCGUAAUGAUUAAUAGGGAUAGUCGGGGG
RNAcentral lists this ribosomal RNA (263 nucleotides) under uncultured Ascomycota. RNAcentral describes it as "partial 18S ribosomal RNA". It matches the Rfam family "Eukaryotic small subunit ribosomal RNA", at positions 619 to 888 of the family's 1831-position model. The record is from RNAcentral. Lineage: Eukaryota; Fungi; Ascomycota.